Molecule: unclassified non-coding RNA, 253 nt
Filed under: uncultured Planctomycetota bacterium
Lineage: Bacteria; Pseudomonadati; Planctomycetota
Description: uncultured planctomycete contains 16S-23S intergenic spacer region
Rfam family: Bacterial small subunit ribosomal RNA
Source: RNAcentral
UACAGAGAUGGCAAGCGUUGUUCGGAAUCACUGGGCAUAAAGGGCACGUAGGCGGGCGGGUAAGUCAGGUGUGAAAUCCCUCGGCUCAACCGAGGAACUGCGCCUGAAACUACUCGUCUUGAGGGCAGGAGGGGAGAGUGGAACUCUUGGUGGAGCGGUGAAAUGCGUAGAUACCAAGAGGAACGCCGGUGGCGAAAGCGACUCUCUGGCCUGUUUCUGACGCUGAGGUGCGAAAGCUAGGGGAGCAAACAGG